This 468-nucleotide ribosomal RNA is filed under the name uncultured bacterium. RNAcentral's name for it is "partial 16S ribosomal RNA". It matches the Rfam family "Bacterial small subunit ribosomal RNA", at positions 28 to 507 of the family's 1533-position model. The record is from RNAcentral.
GACGAACGCUGGCGGCGUGCUUAACACAUGCAGGUCGAACGGAAAGGCCCUGCUUUUGUGGGGUGCUCGAGUGGCGAACGGGUGAGUAACACGUGAGUAACCUGCCCUUGACUUUGGGAUAACUUCAGGAAACUGGGGCUAAUACCGGAUAGGAGCUCCUGCUGCAUGGUGGGGGUUGGAAAGUUUCGGCGGUUGGGGAUGGACUCGCGGCUUAUCAGCUUGUUGGCGGGGUAGUGGCUUACCAAGGCUUUGACGGGUAGCCGGCCUGAGAGGGUGACCGGCCACAUUGGGACUGAGAUACGGCCCAGACUCCUACGGGAGGCAGCAGUGGGGAAUAUUGCACAAUGGGCGGAAGCCUGAUGCAGCAACGCCGCGUGCGGGAUGACGGCCUUCGGGUUGUAAACCGCUUUCGCCUGUGACGAAGCGUGAGUGACGGUAAUGGGUAAAGAAGCACCGGCUAACUACGUG